AAACAUCGCCUCUUGACAAAACAUAAGAGGUCCAGCCUGCCCAGUGACAAAGUUCAACGGCCGCGGUACCCUAACCGUGCGAAGGUAGCAUAAUCACUUGUUCUUUAAAUGAGGACUCGUAUCAACGGCACUACGAGGGCUAUACUGUCUCCUUUUUCUAAUCAGUGAAACUGAUCUCCCCGUGAAGAAGCGGGGAUCAAAAUAUAAGACGAGAAGACCCCAUGGAGCUUUAAACUCACUAUACACCUCUGUGCCUUUAUGUCACUAGACACAAGAGAUCUGCGUACUAGUUUUAGGUUGGGGGGACCACGGAGUAUAAUUUAACCUCCAUAACAAAUGGGCUAACACCCUUAUCUACGAGACACAACUCUAAGAAUUACUAAACUAAUGCUUAUGACCCGAUAUUCGAUCAAUGAACCAAGUUACCCUGGGGAUAACAGCGCAAUCUACUUCAAGAGCCCAUAUCGACAAGUGGGUUUACGACCUCGAUGUUGGAUCAGGGUAUCCCGGUGGUGCAGCCGCUACCGACGGUUCGUUUGUUCAACGAUUAAAACCCUACGUG
Molecule: ribosomal RNA, 562 nt
Filed under: Rana graeca (Greek frog)
Lineage: Eukaryota; Metazoa; Chordata; Amphibia; Anura; Ranidae
Description: partial 16S ribosomal RNA
Rfam family: Bacterial large subunit ribosomal RNA
Source: RNAcentral